RNAcentral lists this long non-coding RNA (3706 nucleotides) under Homo sapiens (human). RNAcentral describes it as "non-protein coding lnc-TMEM178A-1:30". Lineage: Eukaryota; Metazoa; Chordata; Mammalia; Primates; Hominidae. The record is from RNAcentral.
UUGAAGUCAGUGGCUGGAGUAGUUGUGGGCCAGAAACAUCCUCCUCAGCCCAGGAGAAGUGGCAGCUGAUGUAUUUUAAUUACUGGGAGUCAAGAAGUUGUAGGGAUAAGAAAUGAGUUCAGCUGAGCGAUCAGCUGGAGGUCAGGGAUGGAGGAAAGACCCAGGGUGUGUGAGAUUCUGAAGUAGAGUGGUGAACAGGUGUGGGAUGGAUGUCAGGGAGAGGUGAGGGUAUCUGGAGGGUUUCCAAACAGCCAGGCCUUCAGGAUGGCCACAGCAAAACUUCCAGUUCUGAAUGGUUUUGUGGAAAGAACAUGGCACCUGGAUCUUGGAAGACAUGAACUGAAAUUUCAGUUCAAGCAUUCUAUAGCCAUGAGACCUGGGGGAAUUGGGGCAAGUUAUUUCACAUCUUUGAUCUUCAAUUCUCUCAUCUUCAAAAGGAGACUAAUGAUACUAGGGUUAAGUGAGAAUUUAAAAAAUAAUGCAUAUAAUGCACUACAUAAAUAGAAUCUUCUUCCUUUCCCUUUCUCCUACUUGGAAAUGGCUGAGAGCAAAGAUGCAGUUCUUGCAUCCCAUGACCACAGAGUUCUAGGACUGCAGCCCUGGGCAAGAGGUUCCACCUUGGCUGCUGGAGUUUUCUGCAACGAAGAACUUCAGUGAGUGUUCAGGGCAUGCCUGCAGAACCCUGGUCCUUCUGUUUGGACCAGUGCUCCAAAUCUGUAGGCCUUUGGGCCGUAAUUUAGAAGCUAUUUCUAAAUUUUUGAAGGUCUUCUGUCUAGUCCUGAGGCCUUUAGUCUCAGAGAAUUAAAUUGUCUUACCCAGGGUCGGUCAUACAGACUGCCAAAGCCUGGCCUGGCAUCCAGGUGCAAUGUUCAUCUGUGUUACCAGUUCCUCCAUGCUAACCUGACAAUGACUCACAAUUCCUUAUAGCACAGUGUUCCAAAGUCUGAGCCACAGACCACCUGUACUAGUAGCAGCCGGUGGGCUUGAUAAAAAUGCAGAUUCCUGGCUCCCUGACAGUCCCGUGCUAUCAGAUUCUGUAAAGUUUAAAAGUAAUGAUUUAUAAAUUUCCCAGACCCGGGUUAUACUUUUAUAUGGAAACAUAAUGCCUGAAUCUGACAGAGCGCUUUUUCAUGGAGGAAAGUUGGGACUCUUGGGCAGACUUCCUGUUGCUUUCGUACUCUACAGGUGUUCCUGACCCUGGAAGAAGAGGAUUUAUCUGACUCAACUGGAGAUGGCUCCCUUCCCUUAUUUAUUGUUGCAUCCUGAAGCUUCCCCCAUGCUGGGCUCAGUGUGAACAAACAGCGCGGGAGAAUGCAACCACUGCAGAGGCAUAUGUUUGAGAUACCUGGCCACUGGAGGUCAUCUCGUCUACUAUAUUCACCGCAGAUAAAGAAUGAAAAGAGAAUACACAACCUUGUGAUUGCUAGCAGUGAAAGCUCAGAGUUAUGACAUAACAGAAUUGGCUCAUGUGACUAUGGAGGCUGAGAUGUCCCAAGAGCUGGAUACCCAGGAGAAGCAAAGGGUACAAAUUGAUCUGACUUGAUUUGUCAGAGAGCCAGAACUGCAGGCAAAUAGACGCCAGAGAAAUCAACCAAUCUUUUAAGCCAGCAGUAAUUGUUCCUCCUGUCGGCUGGCUAAAUGACUUGUAUCUGGAGGAGACGCUCAGAAUGAAUCAGAAUGCUUGAGGUGACAGAAACACAGAGCAUUCCAAAGUGGGCUGUAACAGAAGUGGUUGAUCAUACUGUAAAACUCAAAUGUGAAGGGAAGGCUGGAACCUACUGGAAACUGAAGAUCUAACGAAAAGAAGGAACUUUUAGGAACUAGCAGAGACUUCAAAAUGUUGAGAACUCUCUUUUUUCAUAAGAGAAGAUAAAAACUCUGAUGGUCACACUCAUAAAGACAAAAAACAAAUAAAAAACAAACAAAAACUCAGAAUCACAAGAGCAAAGAAAAUGUAGGUAAAACAAUAACAGAAGAGGUAAAGAAAUUUAUGUGAAUUGGGACACUCUGGGGCACAGAACAGAAGAGGAGAAGAAACAUGAAAGUAAUGCUCUGCACAAGGAUGUCUGACUGUCCUUGAUUCCAAGGGCAUUUAAAAUUAGCCACUGGAUGAGAACCAUGAAAUGCCAUGACUCUUACAGCUCCCAUGAAAGACAUUGGAUGGAACUUAUCCUAACUGGACCAAAUUCUAAAAAAUUUUACAUGAUAUUAUAAUGAGUUGAAAGUUGAAAAAAAAAAGCUCUUCUAGAUUACCAAGAAUAAAACACAAAUUUCUAGCUGACUGAAUUAAUUCUCAUCUCUCUAUAGAAAGAUCAUAGAAAUUUUUUUUAUCAUGCAAAGAAAUAGCUAAAAAUUUACAAAAAUAUAGACGUGCAUUAGGCAGCUCAUGAAUAAAUGCGUUUUUUCCUUUUUUCCUCCAGAAUUUUGUGAUGUUUAUGGUACUUUUCGGCUUUUAAAAUUUUGUAUUUAAUCAGGAUUUAUUACUUCAUUGUAAGUAAAUAUUAAAUUUGUACUCCAUCUUUGUUUGUAAUUUUGUAUAUUUUUCAGUAAAAAGGACUCCCCAGAUUAUGUAAGCUUUAGGCCCCACAAAAUCUAGGCCUGUUGCUGUAUCCUUUCUAGAGCAGUGUUUCUCAAACUUCAAUGUGCAUUUGAAUCUCCUGGGGCUCCUGUUAAAAUAUAGCUUCUGAGAUGAUGCAUUUCUAACAGACUCCCAGGGCUGACACUGCCCAUCUGGGGACCACACUUUGAGAAUCAAAUAUCUAGAACAAUGGUUCUUACCUGGCUGUGCAUUGGGAUCAUUUAUAGUGCUUUUGGAAAAUACAUUGUGUCCAGGUCCCACCCAGUUCUCAGUAGGCUUGGAAUGGGGUCCUACACUUUUUUUUUUUAACUCCACAGUUUGGGAAAGAAGCCUUUUCAUAUAUUGUUGGUGGGAAUACAAAUUGAUACAGCCAUUUUUGAGCUUGAUUUGGCAAUAUCUUCCUUGGAGAAAUCAAAAGCCAGUUGGCAAGCCAGUCUGGAAAAGGCAGUUUACUGAUUCCCACCCGAGGGUCACAAAGCAGGUAUAGAAGGAUGGGCUUUGGCUGAAAUAUAUGAUGGGUACAGGUAUAUUCUCUAUAAUCCAGUAUUUCCACUGCUGAAAACGUAUCCUAGUAACAUUAUACAUAUCAAGCCUACAUAUAAAGUUGGUCAAUUCCAUAUUAUUUGUAGUAGGGGAAAACUGAAAGCAGUCUACAUGCCCAUCAAUAGAUUAUUCAAAUUAUGGAACAGUUUUCCAAUGACAAAACAAUAGCUAAUCUUAGUUAAGCAAUUAUUAUGUUAUGUAAGGUAGACAUUGUUCUACCUUAUUUAUAAGUAUUAAGUUAGUUUUUAUAACUAUCAUAUUUCCAUUUUACAAAUGACAUAAUUUAUAUUAUUGACAUGGGAAGAUGUCCAAGGAUAUAAUAAGCAAAAAGCAAGUAGCAAAACAUUAUGUAUAUUAUGCAUUACCAUUAUAAUAUACUAAAAAGUAAUGCACUUGAUUCUGAUGCACACUCCCCAGUAGGUAACAACUUAUCUAGUGUAAAAAUGAAAGAACAUUCUGGGCCGGGCACGGUGGCUCAUGCCUGUAAUCCCAGCACUUUGGGAGGCCCAGGUGGGCGGAUCACAAGGUCAGGAGAUCGAGACCAUCCUGGCUAACAUGGUGAAACCCCGUCUCUACUAAAAAUAC